GAACCUUCCUUUAGGGGCGAAUUGGGGCCCGACGUCGCAUGCUCCCGGCCGCCAUGGCGGCCGCGGGAAUUCCCAUUUCCGGUUGAUCCUGCCAGAGGCCGCUGCUAUCCGGCUGGGACUAAGCCAUGCGAGUCAAGGGGCUUGUAUCCCUUCGGGGAUGCAAGCACCGGCGGACGGCUCAGUAACACGUGGACAACCUGCCCUCGGGUGGGGGAUAACCCCGGGAAACUGGGGCUAAUCCCCCAUAGGUGAUGGGUGCUGGAAUGCCCCAUCACCGGAAGCGCUCAGCGCCCGAGGAUGGGUCUGCGGCGGAUUAGGUAGUCGGCGGGGUAACGGCCCGCCAAGCCGAAGAUCCGUACGGGCCAUGAGAGUGGGAGCCCGGAGAUGGACCCUGAGACACGGGUCCAGGCCCUACGGGGCGCAGCAGGCGCGAAACCUCCGCAAUGCGGGAAACCGCGACGGGGCUAGCCGGAGUGCCGAUGCCUCGCAUCGGCUGUCGGGGAGCCUAAAAAGCUCCCCACAGCAAGGGCCGGGCAAGGCCGGUGGCAGCCGCCGCGGUAAUACCGGCGGCCCGAGUGGCGGCCACUAUUAUUGGGCCUAAAGCGUCCGUAGCCGGUCUGGCAAGUCCCCCGGGAAAUCUGGCGGCUUAACCGUCAGGCUGCCGGGGGAUACUGCCAGACUAGGGACCGGGAGAGGCCGGGGGUAUUCCCGGGGUAGGGGUGAAAUCCUGUAGUCCCGGGAGGACCACCUGUGGCGAAGGCGCCCGGCUGGAACGGGUCCGACGGUGAGGGACGAAGGCCUGGGGAGCGAACCGGAUUAGAUACCCGGGUAGUCCAGGCUGUAAACGAUGCGGGCUAGGUGUCGCGACAGCCACGAGCUGUCGCGGUGCCGGAGGGAAGCCGUUUAAGCCCGCCGCCUGGGAAGUACGACCGCAAGGCUGAAACUUAAAGGAAUUGACGGGGGAGCACUACAACGGGUGGAGCCUUGCGGUUUAAUUGGAUUCAACGCCGGGAAGCUUACCGGGGGAGACAGCGGGAUGAAAGUCGGGCCUGAAGACCCUUACCAGACCUAGCCUGAGAGUGUGCCAUGGCCCGUCCGUCAGUUCGUACUGAUGUAGCAUCCUUGUUUAGCUCCAGGGACAUAGUGCA
RNAcentral lists this ribosomal RNA (1148 nucleotides) under Geoglobus sp. AF1T1440. RNAcentral's name for it is "partial 16S ribosomal RNA". It matches the Rfam family "Archaeal small subunit ribosomal RNA", at positions 1 to 1036 of the family's 1478-position model. The record is from RNAcentral. Lineage: Archaea; Methanobacteriati; Methanobacteriota; Archaeoglobi; Archaeoglobales; Archaeoglobaceae.